Molecule: ribosomal RNA, 459 nt
Filed under: uncultured bacterium
Lineage: Bacteria
Description: partial 16S ribosomal RNA
Rfam family: Bacterial small subunit ribosomal RNA
Source: RNAcentral
CCUACGGGGGGCAGCAGUGAGGAAUAUUGGUCAAUGGCCGGAAGCCUGAACCAGCCAAGCCGCGUGAGGGAGGAAGGCGCAGAGCGUCGCAGACCUCUUUUGCCGGGGGACAAAAGGCCGGACUUGUCCGGUCCUGAGGGUACCCUGAGAAAAAGCAUCGGCUAACUCCGUGCCAGCAGCCGCGGUAAUACGGAGGAUCCGAGCGUUAUCCGGAUUCAUGGGGUUUAAAGGGUGCGAAGGCGGGCCUUUAAGCCGGCGGUGAAAUCGCGGGGCUCACCCCCGCCGAGCCGUCGGAACUGGGGGGCUUGAGUGCGUCGGAGGCAUGCGGAAUGCGCGGUGUAGCGGUGAAAUGCAUAGAUAUCGCGCAGAACCCCGAUUGCGAAGGCAGCGUGCCGUGCCGCCACUGACGCUGAGGCACGAAAGCGCGGGGAUCGAACAGGAUUAGAUACCCUGGUAGUC